GACGAACGCUGGCGGCGUGCCUAAUACAUGCAAGUAGAACGCACAGUUUAUACCGUAGCUUGCUCCACCAUAGACUGUGAGUUGCGAACGGGUGAGUAACGCGUAGGUAACCUGCCUGGUAGCGGGGGAUAACUAUUGGAAACGAUAGCUAAUACCGCAUAAUAUUAAUUAUUGCAUGAUAAUUAAUUGAAAGGUGCAAUUGCACCACUACCAGAUGGACCUGCGUUGUAUUAGCUAGUAGGUGAGGUAACGGCUCACCUAGGCGACGAUACAUAGCCGACCGGAGAGGGUGAUCGGCCACACUGGGACUGAGACACGGCCCAGACUCCUACGGGAGGCAGCAGUAGGGAAUCUUCGGCAAUGGACGAAAGUCUGACCGAGCAACGCCGCGUGAGUGAAGAAGGUUUUCGGAUCGUAAAGCUCUGUUGUAAGAGAAGAACGGGUGUGAGAGUGGAAAGUUCACACUGUGACGGUAUCUUACCAGAAAGGGACGGCUAACUACGUG
RNAcentral lists this ribosomal RNA (505 nucleotides) under uncultured bacterium. Its description in RNAcentral is "partial 16S ribosomal RNA". It matches the Rfam family "Bacterial small subunit ribosomal RNA", at positions 28 to 507 of the family's 1533-position model. The record is from RNAcentral.